CCCCGAAUCUCCUGGGCUACACGCGCGCUACAAAGGUUGGGACAAUGGGCUCCGACAUCGAAAGGUGAAGGCAAUCUCGAAACCCAAUCGUAGUUCGGAUUGAGGGUUGUAACUCACCCUCAUGAAGCUGGAUUCCGUAGUAAUCGCUUGUCAACAUCAAGCGGUGAAUAUGCCCUGCUCCUU
RNAcentral lists this ribosomal RNA (183 nucleotides) under uncultured Thermoplasmatales archaeon. RNAcentral's name for it is "partial 16S ribosomal RNA". It matches the Rfam family "Archaeal small subunit ribosomal RNA", at positions 1154 to 1338 of the family's 1478-position model. Lineage: Archaea; Methanobacteriati; Thermoplasmatota; Thermoplasmata; Thermoplasmatales. The record is from RNAcentral.